UACGAAGGUCCCGAGCGUUGUUCGGAAUCACUGGGCGUAAAGGGAGCGUAGGCGGCGCGGUAAGUCAGAUGUGAAAUCCCGGGGCUCAACCCCGGAACUGCAUCCGAUACUGCCGUGCUAGAGUAAUGGAGGGGUAGCUGGAAUUCUCGGUGUAGCAGUGAAAUGCGCAGAUAUCGAGAGGAACACUCGUGGCGAAAGCGAGCUACUGGACAUUUACUGACGCUGAGGCUCGAAGGCUAGGGGAGCGAAAGGG
Molecule: ribosomal RNA, 253 nt
Filed under: uncultured bacterium
Lineage: Bacteria
Description: partial 16S ribosomal RNA
Rfam family: Bacterial small subunit ribosomal RNA
Source: RNAcentral